RNAcentral lists this ribosomal RNA (250 nucleotides) under uncultured bacterium. RNAcentral describes it as "partial 16S ribosomal RNA". It matches the Rfam family "Bacterial small subunit ribosomal RNA", at positions 524 to 772 of the family's 1533-position model. The record is from RNAcentral.
UACGGAGGGAGCAAGCGUUGUCCGGAUUUACUGGGCGUAAAGGGCGCGUAGGCGGCUUGUUAAGUGUGGUGUGAAAUCUCCAGGGCUCAACCCGGAAACCGCACCGCAUACUGGCAAGCUAGAGGAAUGUAGAGGUAGAUAGAAUUCCCGGUGUAACGGUGACAUGUGUAGAUAUCGGGAGGAAUACCAAUGGCGAAGGCAGUCUACUGGACAUUUCCUGACGCUGAGGCGCGAAAGCGUGGGUAGCAAA